ACAUGUUUGGGAUUACGCGUACAAGCUGCGUAUGUCUUGCAAGCCCAUUGCGUGAGAGUGAAGGAGGUUGAUUAAAAUUGAAUAUUGCAAAGAGGACCUCCACACUAAGCAGAUCGUGAUGCGAGAGAUGUAGUCUUGGAGACAAUCUGUAUUUAUAGAAUUAAUGGUCUGCUCUACAGCUAACAUCAUUCAAAAAGAGAACUUACUUCGUUCUAGGUUAUAAUAGUUGCCGGCUAAAGGAGCAGCGUGAAUGAUGUGCAGACCCACCAUGUUAAAAUAUUAGACGGAUCCUGCAGCGCCAAGACGCAAAAUAUUUUUAGUACGUACGGCCUUCCUAUAGGCAUAGAUGCCACGAUUCGACGCUGCCGUGGUGUAGGCCUUGUAAAUAUCAUAUUAAUC
Molecule: small RNA, 399 nt
Filed under: Histoplasma ohiense
Lineage: Eukaryota; Fungi; Ascomycota; Eurotiomycetes; Onygenales; Ajellomycetaceae
Description: hypothetical lncRNA
Source: RNAcentral